Non-coding RNA from Potamilus streckersoni, 74 nucleotides. Lineage: Eukaryota; Metazoa; Mollusca; Bivalvia; Unionida; Unionidae. The record is from the annotation of a GenBank genome assembly.
GCUUCAGUGGCCUAGUGGUUAGAGCAUCCGCCUCGGAUGAUGGAGGUUUGCGGGUUUGAACCCCGACCGAGUCA